UGUACGUAUGUACGUAUGUACGUAUGCAUGCAUGCAUGCAUGCAUGUAUGUAUGCAUGCAUGUAUGCAUGCAUGCAUGCAUGUAUGUAUGUAUGCAUGCA
This 100-nucleotide microRNA precursor is filed under the name Beta vulgaris subsp. vulgaris (sugar beet). Its description in RNAcentral is "pre miRNA MIR535". Lineage: Eukaryota; Viridiplantae; Streptophyta; Magnoliopsida; Caryophyllales; Amaranthaceae. The record is from RNAcentral.